UACGAAGGGGGCUAGCGUUGCUCGGAAUUACUGGGCGUAAAGGGCGCGUAGGCGGACAUUUAAGUUGGGGGUGAAAGCCCGGGGCUCAACCUCGGAAUUGCCUUCAAUACUGGAUGUCUUGAGUUCGGGAGAGGUGAGUGGAAUGCCGAGUGUAGAGGUGAAAUUCGUAGAUAUUCGGCGGAACACCAGUGGCGAAGGCGACUCACUGGCCCGAUACUGACGCUGAGGCGCGAAAGCGUGGGGAGCAAACAGG
This 253-nucleotide ribosomal RNA is filed under the name uncultured bacterium. RNAcentral's name for it is "partial 16S ribosomal RNA". It matches the Rfam family "Bacterial small subunit ribosomal RNA", at positions 524 to 776 of the family's 1533-position model. The record is from RNAcentral.